This is a long non-coding RNA of Patella vulgata (common limpet), 1388 nucleotides long. RefSeq lists it as uncharacterized. The record is from RefSeq and is a predicted model, not a curated record. The transcript has 3 exons. Lineage: Eukaryota; Metazoa; Mollusca; Gastropoda; Patellidae.
AAAUACGCAAGUGCGAUUUGCGUAUUGGCUUUUCUUCCUUGUCGGAUUGUCCAUUCGUACGAAACCGCGGCUUCAAAUGUGGUUAUUUUCGUAAAUAAACAACUAGCUUUUCGCCUCGUUUUCGAAUUUUUACUCUAGCUGCUCCGAGUGAAAGUCGAAAACAACACGAUUUUUGGGACGGAUACCAGGAUAGCAUAGGCCCUAGUGUUCCAAUUUCCAUGAAAGCAUGGAAUAGUGACCAUCAAUCCAUAUCGGUAAAUGAAAUAGGUAUUUUCAGCUGAAACAAUGCCACCCAAGAAGAAGAAAUACCGACCAUUUCCACAGGCUCCUGGAAUUGCAGAAACCUUCUUACGGAGUAAUUAUAGUGCUGCUGCUCCGGAGAGUUGGAAGAAUGGUCACGUCCUCCAUGUCUUCAUGUCAUCAAAUCAUGCCGUGAAGGAAACUCUUAAAAACCUAAGAGAUUUGAUGACAGAGGACGUGACAGAAAAUUCAGUUUUACGACUGGUGAACCGUUUUAAAAAAUUCAAAAAACUGACUGACUGUAAGGAAUUUAAUCAGUUUGAGAAGCUGUGUGCAGCGUAUUUUAAGAUUUUAACGGUUACUCCACGGGGUGUGCGAAGACGCCUCUUGGAUGCUAACACAAACGACUCUAAAUCGCCUCUGAAAACUAGACAUACUGGUGCUUGUGGGAACUGUCGACUUCUUAGAGAUAAUUUGCGGAAGUGUAUUCAGGAGAAAAAUGCCCUGAGAAAGGAACAGUCUCGUAAUAAAGACCAGCUUCAAAGGUUAAAACUGUGUCCCAAGAAGCUGAAUGAGAAAUUAAAAAGGAGGGAUGCAACCAUUGCAAGGUUAAAACAAUCACUGGCAAAUCAGGAUAAAUCUGCAAAACAAGAACUGUGUCAAGCAAAAAGCAGUCAGUGAAGAGGCUGAGAAAGAGACAGUACGGAACGCAGGUGUGGAUUGAGUGAAAGAACUUGAAACUGUAUACCAAGACAGGUUUCUUCAGCAGGAAGAGGACCUUGAAGAUGUUAAGUCAUCCAGUGCAGAAUUGAAAAGUGAAUUCAGUAAGGAAGGGAAAGCGUAUCACUUCAGAAUGAGAAUCAUGGUUCCAACUGCAGAGAUUCCAAAUCAAAUUCUUUCUUUCGCAAAAAGCUUCGGAUGCAAGUUAGAAGCAAAGGACAUAUCAGGGAGAAGUACUGUAGAAAAUAUGAUCGUAGAACUUGGUCUAAUUAGUGAUCUUCAGGUAGCAGAACUUAUUUAUCGCGCUGAAAAUGUUACUGUGGGGUUUGACGCAACGACACAGGAGGGUCUUUAUGUGAAUGCUAUUCACACUACUACGAAAGGGGAGUGUUUGGUAGUGGCUCUUGAUCAGCUUGCUGGAGGAACAG